Molecule: ribosomal RNA, 711 nt
Filed under: uncultured marine alveolate
Lineage: Eukaryota
Description: bacterial SSU rRNA
Rfam family: Eukaryotic small subunit ribosomal RNA
Source: RNAcentral
GGUAAAAAAGCUCGUAGUUGGAUUUCUGUUGAAGAUGACCGGUCCGUACCACGUACGCGCAUCUGGUUCGUUUUCGGCAUCCUCUCGUCGCACAGGUCUGCGCUUUAUUGCGUGGUCUGGGUUACGGGACUUUUACUUUGAGGAAAUUAGAGUGUUCACGGCAGGCUAUCGCCAGAAUACAUUAGCAUGGAAUAAUAUUAUAGGAUCUUGGUUCUAUUUUGUUGGUUUCUAGGACUGAGAUAAUGAUUAAUAGGGACAAUUGGGGGCAUUCGUAUCAUGACGUCAGAGGUGGAAUUCUUGGAUUGUCAUGCGACGAACUACUGCGAAAGCAUUUGCCAAGGAUGUUUUCAUUGAUCAAGAACGAAAGUAAGGGGAUCGAAGACGAUUAGAUACCGUCGUAGUCUUUACCAUAAACUAUGCCAACUAGGGAUGGGGCAUCGUUCAUUUUCGACUUGCUCCGCACCUUAUGAGAUAUCAAAGUUUUUGGGUUCCGGGGGGAGUACGCUCGCAAGUGUGAAACUUAAAGGAAUUGACGGAAGGGCACCACCAGGAGUGGAGCCUGCGGCUUAAUUUGACUCAACACGGGAAAACUCACCAGGUCCAGACAUAAUAAGGAUUGACAGAUUGAUAGCUCUUUCUUGAUUUUAUGGGUGGUGGUGCAUGGCCGUUCUUAGUUCGUGGAGUGAUCUGUCUGCUUAAUUGCGUUAACGA